UGGGGAAUAUUGCACAAUGGAGGGAACUCUGAUGCAGCGACGCCGCGUGAGUGAUGAAGGACUUCGUUUCGUAAAACUCUGUUCUAUGGGAAGAAAAGGACUGUACCAUAGGAGAACGCUCCGGCUAAAUACGUGCCAGCAGCCGCGGUAAUACGUAUGGAGCGAGCGUUGUCCGGAAUUAUUGGGCGUAAAGGGUGCGCAGGCGGCUUUACAAGUUGGAUGUGAAAUAUUGUGGCUCAACCACAAACGUGCAUCCAAAACUGCAAAGCUUGAGUUAAGGAGAGGUAAGUGGAAUUCCUGGUGUAGCGGUGAAAUGCGUAGAGAUCAGGAGGAACACCGGUGGCGAAGGCGACUUACUGGACUUAAACUGACGCUCAGGCACGAAAGCGUGGGGAGCAAACAGG
Molecule: ribosomal RNA, 404 nt
Filed under: Fusobacteriota bacterium
Lineage: Bacteria; Fusobacteriati; Fusobacteriota
Description: Fusobacteria bacterium partial 16S ribosomal RNA
Rfam family: Bacterial small subunit ribosomal RNA
Source: RNAcentral